Molecule: long non-coding RNA, 5086 nt
Organism: Bombina bombina (fire-bellied toad)
Lineage: Eukaryota; Metazoa; Chordata; Amphibia; Anura; Bombinatoridae
Exons: 2
Source: RefSeq, a predicted model, not a curated record
UUCAGAUAGGAAAUACAAUUUUAAACAAUAUUCCAAUUUACUUCUAUUAUCUAAUUUGCUUCAAUAUUUAGAUAUCUUUUGUUAAAGAAAUAGCAAUGCACAUGGGUGAGCCAAUCACGUUAGGCAUCUAUGUGCAGCCACCAAUCAGAAGCUACUGAGCCUAUCUAGAUAUGCUUUUCAGGAAAGAAUAUCAAGAGAAUGAAGCAAAUUAGAUAAUAGAAGUAAAUUAGAAAGUUGUUUAAAAUGGUAUUCUCCAUCUGAAUCAUGAAAGAAAAUUUUUGGGUUUAAUGUCCCUUUAAGUGCACUAUUUUGACCAGUCACAUGGAUUAUGCUCUCCCUAUAUGCUGCACCUGGAUCCUGUCAAAUGCUGCUUGGUUCCUGUGUUUCCCCCUGAUCCCAUUAUAGAGUUGGCCCUGGGCAAAGAACGCCACUGCUGAUAGGCUGGAGCCUAUAAUUGAAGGUGCCUGAGUGUUUAAGUGGCACAACUUUAUUACAAGUCACUACUUAUCUAUUAACUGCAUUUGGGUUUUUGCAGCCUUGUUUUGUAAAGUCAACCCCCUGGGAAAACGUAGGGGAUAAAUGCUUAGGGUACCCUUUGGUAAUGCAGGUGGGAGUCUAUCCCUGCUGGUUUGUCAGAUCUUUUCCAUUCUCCAAAUGUCCUGACGCUUCUCUCCAUCUCCAGUGGCAGUUCUAUUGGGAAAUAAAAGGCUUUUAGUCUGGACUGCAUUGUGUGAAGGAGCACACUGUCUUUUUUUAUUUAUUUUUUUAGUCUCAUGAGUGGCAGCAAAAUGUAAAAUGCCUCUUAUGUCUCCAUGCAUUACACAUGGCCCAGUUUGUAUGUUAUAUUCUAUGUGUUACUGGCAGCCAAGGAAGGGAAAACAUGCAGUUUUAUGUGUUAGAGACGGUGCCUGCUGUAUGUGUGUUCCUGGUAGUCAAGGGAGUCAAAUCAUUAAUGUGUACUUCUGUUAUUGGCCGCCAAAGUGAAGGCAAGUUCAGUUGUGAAAAAUAUACAUGGUGGGAUCAAGGCUCGGGUUUAAGGUAGAGCUUUUUGGGGCAUUGUGUGGCCCCCAACUACUACCUGUAUCCAGUCACCUACAGGUUGCCCAGUAUUUUAGUAAAGAACAGCUGACAACUCUAAUCACAGUAGUGUAUUAUCCAAAAUGUCAAUAGCAUAAUUACAAAGGGGCCAAAACACAGGAUGCUAUUCAUACCCACUGAGUUGUCACCGCAGCACUCUGAGCCCUCUGUGACUCUGGCACACACACUGCUGUCUCUGCAACUCAUGGGUGCACUUCCUUUGUGAGUGUACAACUAUCAGGUUAUGACUUAUUUAUAAGGGUGUCCCUGACAAACAUGUUUGUAUGAUUUUGUUUUCUAGUCACACUUACACUAAACAUAAUGCAUCAAAAUAAAAUUCUAUUAAAAUCAUUAAUAUGUUUAUUGUAUAUAAUAUUAAAUUGACAACAUAUGGUACAACUACACAUGAGAAGUGUGGAACUUCUUUUUUGAUGACUAAUUACUGUGAAAGCGCCACAACAACUUUAAAGGUCUGGAUGAGGUCUUUGGGCUGUUCUGGUUUAUGUUUAUGAUAUUUUGGAGCGUUAUUGGAUAAUGAACUGUGUGACACGCUAUUUCUUUUCUUUCUUUUCAUAAAGGAAGUGCAGCUAAAUAUAAAUGUUACAGAAAGUGGCUGAUUAAAUAAACCAUGGAAUUUAAUCACAAUAGAUUGUAAAUACAGAUACCUGAAAAAUAUUUACUCUGCUUGGUAGGUGAACACUUAUUUGAAGGUCAUGUAGGGUUUUUCAUGUGAGGAAAACUGUAUGACACAUACUUACAAUAUGCGUUCUAAGGUACUUUUAUUUUAGGUGCAUUAAAAUGUUGCAAUGUAAAUGACACAAGAUUUCAUAUUUCAUUGUCACAACAACAUUCAAAAUAUCACCACUUUUUGAUUAGGAAUUAGGUUAGGGCUAGUCCAUUUAUUUUUUAUAUUUAAUUUUGUGAAAAUUAAUCAACUUUUGUGUAAUUAUUUUAAUUAAUUCCUCUUUAGCCAUUUUUGGGCAUGGUUCCUAUGAGACCCACUUAUGACUGCUGCAGAGCUGCUGCACAGCAACAGUCCUCUUGCUAUCAAUAAAGGGGGUCAGGCGACCUAUUUGUGCGGCUCAAAAAUUGAUCAUCUAAAGAAUUAAGUGGCUAUAAUAUAAUAAAGUAUCCUAUAACUGCUGCUAAUAUGUGUGGCAGUCUGCUUGGCUGCUGCUGAACCACAAAACCCAGUAUGGAGCAUCACAAAUAAGUAUUCCGCUGCAAUCAGUUAAACUCCAACUGUAAUAUACAGUAACCACCACUUACCUGGCCUCUACUUGGAGAUAUUAUCUCUAAUUUUAACCAAUUAUCUGUAAGUUUAUCCAAUUAAUGCAAAGGGCCUCUCUUCCUUCAACUACAAUUAACCCUAAGCACAAUAUCUCCCUGACACAAAUAAUGGCUGAUCUGGCAUCUUAACCUUGAUCUUGUUGCACUGCAAACUAAUAGUUGUCAUAGCCUCUAACACAUUUCUCCAGUCAGUGAAAAGCCCAUUUUUUUAUUAGUAAAUGGGAUUAACCAAUUAAAAUAAUUGAUGGGCUCAAGUUUAACAAUUAACAUAAACACCACUUAGAAUAUAUAUGUUGAAGGGAAUACUGUAGGAAGCCCAGACUGUGGAGAAAGACUGGAGAAGAAGCACCUGAUAUUAAUGGACAUGAAGAGGCUGAAGGAAGACAUUUUUCAGUUACCCUUUAGGUAAAGCCACUUGAAGGGAUAAUAAUGUCUUGUCUUCAUUUAAAGUUGAAAUGGAUUUACAGUGUCAUUUUUAUAUUAUAUAUUAGCAAUAUAGGCCAUGGCAUCUGGCACCUUCACUCGUACUGAGGCUUCCCUGGCUUGUUGAAGGCUGAAAGUUUGUGGUCAGCUACAAAGAUUUGCCUCGAUCAGUAGUGCUUGCAAGGGUGACCGUCAAGCUGAAUAUUGAUUGUACAAGGUGUUGCUGGUUGUUUUCUACUACUUAUUCCUAACUUUUUUAAAAUUUCCCUCUUCUCCUUCUUUUACCCCACUCCAUAUCCUGGGCAGUGCACUGGUUGUUUAGGGCAGAUGAAAGCUUUAAGUUUAAGGGUGCAAAUGCAUGGCCAUGGCUAGUACAGUCUAGAAUUGCUACACCCCAAAACAAUAAGAACCACUGGCUUACUUACAUUAUACUGCACAAGUAGGGGUGGUUCUAAACUAUACCAUUUGUUGGUACAAAAUGUUGAUUGCAAGAUAAAUAUCAGGUGUUCAAGUGGUACAGGUUAGGGACGUCAUCUUCUUCUGCUGUGUAUUCCUGUGUAUUUAUUUAUAUGUUUAAAUUAAAUCUGCUUUCUCUCUCUGUCAUCUCCCACCCCACCCUGCUCUGCACAAAGAGCUGGAUAUGUAAAAAGGCACUAACAAUUUAGGGCAGUUGAGAUUUGGAGGUGCUUGAAUAAUGAAUGGGGAUGCAUGGUACCCUCUAGCAACCCUCUUGAACUGUCACUGCUCAUGGUGUUAUACCAGGGAAGAACUAUGGAAAUAGGGAACUAUGGGAGUCCUUUCACAUAAUAAAUCAGGCUGAUGAUUUUAUAUCAGAAGUUCAACAUUGCAGAGGUUCAUUCUCACUUGACAAAAGGCAGAAAUGCUAAGAAAUGAAAUAUUUAAGGUGGCUGUUGUCUGACUUAAAGAAGAUGUAGAAACAGAGGAUGCACCAUCAGGAAGUCAGAUGAAUGUUUCCAUUCAGGCAGACUGUGAGAAGGAAUCAUCAGAGCUCUAGAAGACCACCAACCUAUGAGCAUGAAGGUUAUUCAAACAAAACAUUUAGUGUCUCGAUUUCACCCAGAAACUGAGAACCUGAUCCUGAACAGAAACAACAUACUCAAAAUUAAUAACAAACAUCUUUGAAAAGGUCAUACUUAUAAGCAAGAAGGACUCUAUCUUACCCUACUCAGAGUGUGACCUUUCAUUAGAUUUCACGUAAGGAUAUGACACUUCCAGCAAAGCCCAAAAACUAUAUCUAACAGUAAAAGAAAAACUAUAGCUGCUAGUCAUCUGAAGCAAAGAGGAUGCAGGCACUACUCGGUGUAGGUAUAAAAGCAAAAAAAGGCUUUAUUGUGCUAUUCCAUAAAAAUACAAAAAGAAGCAAAUAAUACAAAAAACGAAUACCUUCAAGUGCAAGGCAGACACACAGGCUAACAAGAGGGACAGGCGGCCUGAUGCGUUUCGCGCCCCCUAGAGGAGCUUAAUCUUAGGUUGCUAGUCAUCAACUAUAUACAUCUGAAUAUUAUCAUUAUUAGAGGGUAAUAGGUUUCAAACUACUUCCUUGGGUAUAAUAAUAAAGAGAAACAUCUAACAGCUUUGCUUGCAUGCAUAUAAAAUAACAACCUGUUGUAUAACUCAGGAGACAAACUAAAAGAAUGAUAUAUCUGACUUUGCCUAAAAUUUGUCAAAGGAACUAAGCUUGAGUGCAAUAACCAAUUCUUCUGAAAAUAUAUCUGCAGUAGGGGCUUCUAAUACCCAGAAACAUGCCUGGCAAACAACCAGUCAAAUGAAGCUCAGAAGACAAGGACCUCUUAUAGGGUGUGUGGGGAAGAAACUAUUUUGUUGUCAAUUAUUGUUGAAUGAUGACUUUGUACAACACAUAACCGUUAAUGAUGCAUCUGUCCUUAUGCAUAACUUCAUGUGUUCAUGAAUGAUCAAUAAAUAUAGAUUUAUUAUUCAAAUUUAGUUUAUUAAACUAGAUAGAUGAUAGAUAGAUUAAUGUAAAGGUAUUAUAACAUCAAUUAAUCAUAUAAACUAUAUGUACAUAAUAAUUUUUAUUUCAAUAAAGAGAAUAACUAUAUUGAGUCAUGAUAUAAGUUAAACAGGAGAAUAUACAUUUUGUCACUACUGUAUCAAUCUAAAUGACAUAUUUAAGUUUGACAUGCCUAAAAUGAAGAAACAUUUAAAUAAUAAUAAUAAUAAUAAUAAUAACAACAGAAUAUAAAGAAUAUUGAAUGUAAGCAUGUCUUAAAUUAUGGAAAACAAUUAGAACAAAAUAAAAAAAUAGAUAAACAAA